UAGGGAAUCUUCCACAAUGGACGCAAGUCUGAUGGAGCAACGCCGCGUGAGUGAAGAAGGCUUCGGGUCGUAAAACUCUGUUAUUGAAGAAGAGCGUGUGUGACAGUAACUGGUCAUGCAGUGACGGUAUUCAAUCAGAAAGUCACGGCUAACUACGUGCCAGCAGCCGCGGUAAUACGUAGGUGGCAAGCGUUGUCCGGAUUUAUUGGGCGUAAAGCGAGUGCAGGCGGUCUUUUAAGUCUGAUGUGAAAGCCUUCGGCUUAACCGAAGAAGGGCAUCGGAAACUGGGAGACUUGAGUGCAGAAGAGGAGAGUGGAACUCCAUGUGUAGCGGUGAAAUGCGUAGAUAUAUGGAAGAACACCAGUGGCGAAGGCGGCUCUCUGGUCUGUAACUGACGCUGAGGCUCGAAAGCGUGGGUAGCAAACAGG
RNAcentral lists this ribosomal RNA (428 nucleotides) under uncultured bacterium. RNAcentral's name for it is "partial 16S ribosomal RNA". It matches the Rfam family "Bacterial small subunit ribosomal RNA", at positions 355 to 776 of the family's 1533-position model. The record is from RNAcentral.